RNAcentral lists this transfer RNA (69 nucleotides) under Bos taurus (domestic cattle). It matches the Rfam family "tRNA". From Rfam's summary of the family: Transfer RNA (tRNA) molecules are approximately 80 nucleotides in length. Their secondary structure includes four short double-helical elements and three loops (D, anti-codon, and T loops). Lineage: Eukaryota; Metazoa; Chordata; Mammalia; Artiodactyla; Bovidae. The record is from Rfam by way of RNAcentral. RNAcentral also lists the same sequence under 1 other name.
CCUGGUGGCUCAGCCAGUAAAGCAUCUGCCUACAAUGCAGAAGACCCGGGUUCAAUCCCUGGGUCAGGA